GACUGGGCCUGAGGAAACCAGAGCCCUCAGGCCCUGCCUCCUCCUCCUCCUCAGCAGCAAGCGCUGUUCCUGGGACCUCUUAGCCCCUGGAUUCAUAGAAACGACUUUGAAGCCUGAAGCUGCUGACAGGCUACUGGACAGAGGAAACUCUCUGAGAUAUAAUUACAGAACCAACUCACAGUUUGUCUAUAAAGAGAAUGGACUCUCUUCCAUCAGAUAAAACUCCUGUGUCUGGAAGCCAGGAAUACUAGGAAGAAUCCUAUCAAGUUCAGGGUCUUUCUGUGUAGUCCAGACUGAUCUUGAAUUCAAG
Long non-coding RNA from Heterocephalus glaber (naked mole-rat), 310 nucleotides. The record is from Ensembl. NCBI's taxonomy places the organism in Eukaryota, Metazoa, Chordata, Mammalia, Rodentia, Bathyergidae.